RNAcentral lists this ribosomal RNA (465 nucleotides) under Vreelandella stevensii. RNAcentral describes it as "partial 16S ribosomal RNA". It matches the Rfam family "Bacterial small subunit ribosomal RNA", at positions 338 to 795 of the family's 1533-position model. Lineage: Bacteria; Pseudomonadati; Pseudomonadota; Gammaproteobacteria; Oceanospirillales; Halomonadaceae. The record is from RNAcentral.
CCUACGGGAGGCAGCAGUGGGGAAUAUUGGACAAUGGGGGGAACCCUGAUCCAGCCAUGCCGCGUGUGUGAAGAAGGCCCUCGGGUUGUAAAGCACUUUCAGUGAGGAAGAACGCCUGGUGGUUAAUACCCAUCAGGAAAGACAUCACUCACAGAAGAAGCACCGGCUAACUCCGUGCCAGCAGCCGCGGUAAUACGGAGGGUGCGAGCGUUAAUCGGAAUUACUGGGCGUAAAGCGCGCGUAGGUGGCUUGAUAAGCCGGUUGUGAAAGCCCCGGGCUCAACCUGGGAACGGCAUCCGGAACUGUCAAGCUAGAGUGCAGGAGAGGAAGGUAGAAUUCCCGGUGUAGCGGUGAAAUACGUAGAGAUCGGGAGGAAUACCAGUGGCGAAGGCGGCCUUCUGGACUGACACUGACACUGAGGUGCGAAAGCGUGGGUAGCAAACAGGAUUAGAUACCCGAGUAGUC